UGAGGUAGAGGUCGCGGCAAGUGAAGAGUAGACCGGAGGAGGCGUAUAAGGACGCCCAUGAUUCCGGCCGAAAGGCACUGCCGCCGAAGUGGAUUGCCACCUUAUUGCAAUCUGCUGGGGCUGUUGCCGAAAGGGACAGAACUGUCACGCCAUUC
RNAcentral lists this non-coding RNA (155 nucleotides) under Paenibacillus tuaregi. RNAcentral's name for it is "Lysine riboswitch". It matches the Rfam family "Lysine riboswitch aptamer", at positions 4 to 156 of the family's 182-position model. Rfam says of the family: Riboswitches are metabolite binding domains within certain messenger RNAs that serve as precision sensors for their corresponding targets. Allosteric rearrangement of mRNA structure is mediated by ligand binding, and this results in modulation of gene expression. This family includes riboswitches that sense lysine in a number of genes involved in lysine metabolism, including lysC. Lineage: Bacteria; Bacillati; Bacillota; Bacilli; Caryophanales; Paenibacillaceae. The record is from RNAcentral.